This 232-nucleotide ribosomal RNA is filed under the name uncultured bacterium. RNAcentral's name for it is "partial 16S ribosomal RNA". It matches the Rfam family "Bacterial small subunit ribosomal RNA", at positions 99 to 334 of the family's 1533-position model. The record is from RNAcentral.
CGGACGGGUGGGUAAUGUCUGGGAAACUGCCCGAUGAGGGGGAGUAACUACUGGAAACGGUAGCUAAUACCGCAUAACGUCGCAAGACCAAAGAGGGGGACCUUCGGGCCUCUUGCCAUCGGAUGUGCCCAGAUGGGAUUAGCUAGUAGGUGGGGUAACGGCUCACCUAGGCGACGAUCCCUAGCUGGUCUGAGAGGAUGACCAGCCACACUGGAACUGAGACACGGUCCAG